Molecule: small nucleolar RNA, 147 nt
Organism: Diospyros lotus (date-plum)
Lineage: Eukaryota; Viridiplantae; Streptophyta; Magnoliopsida; Ericales; Ebenaceae
Product: small nucleolar RNA U19
Exons: 1
Source: RefSeq, a predicted model, not a curated record
UGUUGGCUUAGUUAGGGGGCGCAAACUAAAUCGAGGGCUCCCUGGUCAGACUAUAAGAUCUGAUAUGGGGGUGUCUUCUCCAAAGACCUUUUGAGGGGACUACUUGUUCCUCAACCUCAAUAGUCCUCCAAGCAGUCUUGGACAUCA